AAGGCAUUGACCCGCGGACAACCGAAGCUGCGGUCAGCUUAGGCCCGGCUUUCCGGAGUAGCUGGAGGCUAAUUUAGGUGCCCGAAAUUGCGGCUGGACUCGUAAGACUGCGGAUAAAGAAGGACUUUUAAGCCUCUUAUUAGGACGAUAUUUUAAAAGCAGUGUAGUAUUUUGAUUUUCCCUGCUAGGUCUUCCCUACAAGCCUAGCCCGGUCCUUGCAUCUGUUUGGCAAGCCCCCGGCUCAUUGUUAAUACUGUUAACGGCCGCACAUCCUGAUUUUCUCUUGGCAUACUUCCUUUCAGAUUUAUUGCUUUGAAGCAUGAACAGACCUUAUGGGAAUAAUGGAUAAAUAAGACAUGUAGUUGUAGUUAGUUCAGGAUUAAAUGCCAGAAUUCAAACUUACAGCUUUGUGGAUAUCUAUAAACAUUUUAAAGAACUUAAUGACUGCUUCCUAAUCAUUUUUUUUGGAAAUCAGCCAUUCCUUAUAGCCACCCCACCGUUGCUUCCCUUCCUUCCCUGGAUCUCAAAGGGGUGGAAAUUUUGUUUCUGAGGUCUUAGGAACUUAGAAGAAAGUACUUAACAUUUAGAACCGUGGGUCUAGUUUUAUGACUAACAAUAUGAAAGGCUUUGAGUUUAGACUGGAAAAGGAAAAAGGGGUUAAAAUGCCAGCGAGGAGACUUCGUGAGGUCCUUUCUCCAAAUCAGGGAGAUAGUUUGCCAUUGGUGAAAGAUGAGUUUCCCGGUGUUCCUCCAGCAUUGCCUGCCAAUAAACGUCUUCCUGUUGGAACGAGGACUAGCUUAAACCGAACGUUAUGUGGUUCUUCGGAUUUAACUUCUAGAAAAUAUUACCAUCCUCUGUCAGAAAAUCCUACUGUAUCUAACAAAAGUGAUUUUUCUAAAAAUGUAGUGACAAACCUAUCUUCAGAGAAAACAGAAGACAGCAACAGGCAAAAAGCAAAUGACAUCUUUAUUUCUCAGUACACCUUGGGACAGAAAGAUGCUUUGAGAACUGUUUUAAAGCAAAAAGCUCAAAGCAUGCCUGUUUAUAAAGAAGUAAAAGUACAUCUUUUAGAAGACACAAGAACAGAAAAGGAUGGUGUUGCUCAGGAGACUAGAACUUCACCCAGUAGAAUCGAUUCAGCUACCACUGUGGCUGCAGCAACUGCUGCCGCCAUUGCAACAGCAGCUCCACUGAUAAAGGUUCAAAGUGAUUUGGAAGCAAAGGUUAAUUCUGUUACAGAAUUACUUAAUAAGUUACAGGAGACUGAUAAACAAUUACAGCGUGUUACAGAGCAGCAAACAAGCAUUCAAACUAAGCAAGAAAAAUUCCAUUGUCAUGACCACGAAAAGCAAAUGAAUGUGUUUAUGGAGAAGCACAUGAGGCACCUUGAAAGAUUACAGCAACAACAAAUAGACAUUCAGACUCAUUUUAUCAGUGCUGCACUCAAGACUAGUAGUUUUCAACCUGUUGGCACGUCCCCUUCCAGAGCAGUGGAAACGUAUUCUGUUAGAUCAGCAUACCCUCAUCUUGAAAGCAACAGUCUUUCUUUACAGAACACAUUUCCUUCCAAACAAGUACCUUUAAGAGAAGUUGAGGAUACAGAUUUUGAUGGGAAGAAAUCUCCUUUGGAGACACCAGCACCUCGACGGUUUGCUCCUGUACCUGUUUCAAGAGAUGAAAAAAUAUCAAAGAGGGAAGACCCUAUAGAAGAAAAAGAAAAUAUGGAACUGUCAGGUUAUAGAGGAAAUGUAAGACUGCUGGAACAAAUACUGAAUAGUAACGAUUCUUUAACAAGAAAAAGUGAAUCAUCAGACAUAACCUCACUAACCAGGUCAAAAAUGGGAUGGAAUUCUGAGAAAAGAGAGAGCACCGAGACUCUCCCUUCACAGAGAUUUCCUUCCUAUGAAGAGUUAGGAGCAGCUAAUGUAAUGACACAGAAGCAUGAUGGUGUUGUUCAUGGUCUUGGUUUAAAGAAGAAAGAAAGAAAUGGCACAUUCCAGCCAAAACAAUCUCCAAUUAUCUUGAGGCUUUCAAAUCUUCCACAGAAUUCUGUUAAGCUUCAGACAGCUGAUACAAAAUCUGUGUUGAAAGAUGCUGAGAAGAUUUUGAGAGGUGUACAAAAUAAUAAAAAAGUACUAGAAGAAAACUUGGAAGCAAUUAUUCAUGCAAAAGAUGGAGCUGCUAUGUAUUCAUUUAUCAACGCCUUAUCCAAUAGGGAGAUGUCAGAGAAAAUUAGAAUUAGAAAGAAAGUAGAUGAGUGGAUUAAAAUCAUUUCAGCAGAAAUUCAGGAAGAACUUACAAGAAAAGAUUAUGAACAAGAGAGAUUUGAUCUGAAGAGUCAAAGGACCAGGAAAGCUCAGAGUCUGAGUAGAGCUAUUAAAACCAACACACAAGACACACCUGUGAACAAAUCUAUAAUUCCAAGGCAGCAUUCUCAAAAACAAAUACAGGAGCGUUUUAGAAGUCCACCUAUAAGGAGCGUGCCUGCCUCAACUUCACAGAAAGAGAAGAAAGAGGGGCUUUUGAAAUCAACCACAGUUAAACAAGAUGAGGCUUACAUGUUACAAGUAUAUGGGAAGCCCGUUUAUCAAGGCCACCGCAGCACUCUUAAAAAAGGACCUUAUCUCAGAUUCAGUUCUCCAUCUCCUAAGAUCAGACCACAGAGACCCAAAGUGAUAGAACGAGUUAAAGGCACUAAAGUCAAGUCAGCAAGAACACAAACUGAAUUUUAUGCAGUCAAACCUAUGAAGAUGGAUUCUAAAAUUCAGCAGCCCAUUAUUACACUACCUCCUGGUGAUCAGCAAUAUUUGUUCAGCCCAAGUAGAGAAAUGCCUACUAUUUCGGGUACCCUGGAAGGUCAUCUGAUUCCUAUGGCAAUUCUUCUAGGACAAACUCAAAGUAAUAGUGAUUCCAUGCCACCAGCUGGAGUAAUUGUAAACAAGCCACACCCUGUAACUGUGACUAUGUCUAUUCCACCAUCAACUCGUAAAGUAGAAGCAGGCAUAAAGAAACCUAACAUAGCAGUUGUAGAAAUGAAGUCAGAAAAGAAGGACCCUCCUCAGCUUUCUGUACAGGUAUUACCUAGUGUGGAUAUUGACAGCAUUUCAUACAGCAGUUCUGAUGGUGGCUCCCCUUCACCUAGUCCUAAACAAGCCCCUUCUCCUCCCUUGCACACCUGGAUCCAGACUCCAGAAUUUGUGGAGGCAGAUGAAGAAGAAGUGAAGUUUCCAGGAACAAACUUUAAUGAGGUCAUUGAUGUUCAGGAAGAGGAAAAAUGUGAUGAAAUUCCUGAAUAUUCUGAACCAAUGCUGGAGUUUAACAGAAGUGUUAAACUUGUUUCUACAAAAUAUAAUGGGCCUCCAUUUCCUCCAGUUGUUUCUACUUUUCAGCCCACUACUGAGAUUUUGGAUAAAGUAAUUGAGAGAAAAGAAACAUUGGAAAAUAGCUUAAUUCAGUGGGUAGAACAAGAAAUAAUGUCAAGAAUUGUCUCUGGGCUCUUUCCACUCCAGCAUCAGGCCAGACUCAGUACUAGCAUUUCAGUGAGUGAGGCAAGUGGAUCAUCAACUUCUGACAUUGUGGCAGGAACCAGCAGUGGAGUGCUCCAGCUUUUUGUAGAUGCGGGAGUUCCUGUGAAUUCAGACCUGAUUAGCCAUUUUGUUAAUGAAGCUCUUGCUGAGACCAUUGCUGUCAUGCUGGGUGACAGAGAGGCAAAGAAGCAAGGCCCUGCUGCCCUGAGUGCUGCUGGUGAUGUCUCAGCAAGCGAGACCUACUUGUCUGCUAGAGUUUGUACUCCAGUGGCCACACCCCAGCCUACUCCUCCUGGCUCACCAUCACCUCCUGAGGAGCAUGUGCUAGUGAAAACUCCAGAUUCUUCUCCCUGUGAUUCAGCUUACGAUGUGGCUUUUCCUGUUAAAGAAGUAUGUGCUGAAAAAGGUGACAAUAUACCUACCAUUACACUUGUCAAUACGCCAACAGUUACCCCUAUUACUACACCACCUCCACCAGCAGCUCCUACCCCAACUUUGUCAGAAAUUUCCAUUGAUAAGUUGAAGUUAUCAAGCCCAGAUCUUCCCAAGCCAUGGGACAAUGGAGACCUGCCAUUGGAUGAAGAGAAUCCUAACUCUCUUCAAGAGCUUCUUCACCCAAAAGCUAUUGUGAUGUCUGUGGCUAAGGAUGAAGAAUCUGCGAGUGUUGACUUCUCUGCUCUGCCUGCACCUUCAGAGCCACUUCCUAUGGACACAAAGGCCCAGUCUCCAAUACAGAUGCCAAGUUCUGGUUCAUCAACACUGGAGAACACUUUGAGCAUCACUGUCACUGAUACAGAAACCUUAGAUAGGCCUAUCUCUGAAGGAGAGAUUUUAUUUAGCUAUGGUCAAAACUUGGCUACCAAGAUUUUAGGAAAUGGAGGAUUAUGUCUGAUGAAUGUAAAUGAUAGCUUAUCCAGCACUCUGCAUGAUGCCCUCGAAAUGGAAGAUGAUCCUCCUAGUGAAGGGCAGGUGAUUAGGAUGCCCCCCAAAAAGUUUCAUGCAGAUGCAAUUCUUUCUCUUCUUACUAAACAAGACCAGGAGCUACUCGUUUUACAGCAAACAGAGGACUUGGAUAACAGUGUGGGUGAACUUAGUGAAGGACAAAGGCCCAGGCUGACAGUGGCGGCAGAGAACAUCUUAACAGGACAGUCCGUCUGCUUGCAGCAACCUGCUGCUAGUGCUGAGUUUUUGGAUCAAGAAGGUGAUCCCAGGCUGUUAUUACAGCAGUCUGACAUAGCCUCAGGUAAUAUUUGUGAUGAUUCAUGUGCCAGUCAUGGGCCAAUGAGUUUGAGAGAGUUGGAGUUUCAGCCAAAUUCUAACCCUGUUCUUACCGCAACACAUCUGACAACAGAAAAUGAUGUUAAUUUAGCAGAAGCUGCUGAAGAUUUUUCUCAGUACCAACGAAAGCAAGAUACAGCUGUUAAACAAGUUGAACAGAAGCCAGUACAAAGUCAUUUAAUACGUAUAAGAAAUAAAUCUGAUGUUUCUUCACAAGAGUCUUUGAAAGCAUGAACUCCAAUUGCCUGCUAGAAAAAUCCAUUCACACGUCUUGUAGACAUCUGUCUUCAUCAAGGAGAUAGCUGGCCUCAUGUCUCUGCCUCUCUGUAUACCUCCACAGCCCUCAGAUAUGUUCAUGUUCUCAGUACUCUCCAUGCAGUCAGCCAGAUCUGUCAUUUCAGCACCAAGCUCAUUGCUUUGUGCUGGGCCAGUGCCACUCUUCACUUCACAGACGUCACCCACCAAGAUGUCUGUGAUGCUGCCCUCUGCGAACUUUGAGGAUUGCUCUCAGUCCCCAAGCGUCAGCAUCAUCCAGGCCGACAUGGAGUCCUCGG
Molecule: RNA transcript, 5359 nt
Organism: Nannospalax galili (Upper Galilee mountains blind mole rat)
Lineage: Eukaryota; Metazoa; Chordata; Mammalia; Rodentia; Spalacidae
Gene name: KIAA0586 ortholog
Exons: 31
Source: RefSeq, a predicted model, not a curated record